This is a non-coding RNA of Acanthosepion pharaonis, 104 nucleotides long. NCBI's taxonomy places the organism in Eukaryota, Metazoa, Mollusca, Cephalopoda, Sepiida, Sepiidae. The record is from the annotation of a GenBank genome assembly.
UUACGGCCACAUCAUAUUGAAACACAGGUUUCUAUACGAUCACCGAAGUUGAGGCUGGUCAGUACCGAGAUGGGUGACCGCUUGGGAAUACCAGGUGCUGUAAG